This 207-nucleotide ribosomal RNA is filed under the name uncultured bacterium. RNAcentral's name for it is "partial 16S ribosomal RNA". It matches the Rfam family "Bacterial small subunit ribosomal RNA", at positions 568 to 774 of the family's 1533-position model. The record is from RNAcentral.
CGCGUAGGCGGACUGUUAAGUCGGGGGUGAAAUCCCGGGGCUCAACCCCGGAACUGCCCCCGAUACUGGCAGCCUGGAGGUCGAGAGAGGUGAAUGGAAUGCCGAGUGUAGAGGUGAAAUUCGUAGAUAUUCGGCGGAACACCAGUGGCGAAGGCGGCUCACUGGCUCGAACCUGACGCUGAGGCGCGAAAGCGUGGGGAGCAAACA